RNAcentral lists this ribosomal RNA (468 nucleotides) under uncultured bacterium. Its description in RNAcentral is "partial 16S ribosomal RNA". It matches the Rfam family "Bacterial small subunit ribosomal RNA", at positions 28 to 507 of the family's 1533-position model. The record is from RNAcentral.
GACGAACGCUGGCGGCGUGCUUAACACAUGCAAGUCGAACGGAAAGGCCCUGCUUUUGUGGUGUGCUCGAGUGGCGAACGGGUGUGUAACACGUGAGUAACCUGCCCUUGACUUUGGUAUAACUUCAAGAAACUGGGUCUUAUACCGGAUAGGAGCUCCUGCUGCAUGGUGGUGGUUGGAUAAGUUCGGCGGUUGGGGAUGGACUCGCGGCUUAGCAGCUUGUUGGUGGGGUAGGGGCUUACCAAGGCUUUGACGGGUAGCCGGCAUGAGAGGGUAACCGGCCACAUUGGGACUGAGCGACGGCCCAGACUACUACGGGAGGCAGCAGUGGGGAAUGUUGCACAAUGGGAGGAAGCCUGAUGCAGCAACGCCGCGUGCGGGAUGACGGCCUUCGGGUUGUAAACCGCUAUCGCCUGUGACGAAGCGUGAGUGACGGUAAUGGGUAAAGAAGCACCGGCUAACUACGUG